Molecule: long non-coding RNA, 671 nt
Organism: Biomphalaria glabrata
Lineage: Eukaryota; Metazoa; Mollusca; Gastropoda; Planorbidae
Exons: 3
Source: RefSeq, a predicted model, not a curated record
AUUGUUUACCAUGGAGUUGUCUACUUUUCAAAUUUUACUGACCAAGUUUUGUACAGUGACUGAUCCAUCUGCAGUUUCCGAACCAGUAACUGAUAUCUCAAAAAAAUAUUGCUUUAUUGAUGGUGUCUGGUCACCUCAGAGGAUCAACAUGAUUUGUUCAUUGAAAGACACUUGAAGGUGUAAGUUGUAAAAGGUUUUGAAAGACUUGCCAAAGCAAGGCAUUCUUGACAGGAAUAAACAUUGGGAGCAGCUCUAGCUGACUCAGCUCAGAGGAUGACAUCACAGUUAAUUGACAUCUUUCUGUUAACAAUGCAUGGAUUAUCUUAUCUUCUUCAUUCUAGGGGAAUUAUGCAUUGAGUGAAGACAUCUUGCUGUAGAAGAGAAGAACAAUUCAGAUAGUUCACAUGAUUUACAAUAUGGCUUUGAUUGUCUUAUGUUAAUGGCUGGUAAAGAACUGAAACAUGUAGGCUGGAGAUCACUUGAUAGAAAUCAAGAAAUCUCUGAUCUACAUUGUAUGAGAAAAUCAUGAAGUGGUUGUUGUCAUUGAUCCAGAAACUAAGUUGCAAUCUGUCUUGAUAAAUAUAUCAUACAGAUUUAAUGGUGGCCUACUCAACCCGAGGCGGCUUAAAGCAAAAACAAAAACAAACGCAGCAAUAAUCAGAGACUUGCUA